This 324-nucleotide ribosomal RNA is filed under the name uncultured soil bacterium. RNAcentral's name for it is "bacterial SSU rRNA". It matches the Rfam family "Bacterial small subunit ribosomal RNA", at positions 26 to 341 of the family's 1533-position model. The record is from RNAcentral.
AGAAUCAACGCUGGCGGCGUGCCUCAGACAUGCAAGUCGAACGAUUAAACUUUCCUUCGGGAAAGAUAUAAAGUGGCGCACGGGUGAGUAACACGUAAGUAAUCUACCUUCGAGUGGGGAAUAACGUCCGGAAACGGACGCUAAUACCGCAUAAUGCAGCGGCAUCGCAAGAUGACAGUUGUUAAAGGAAUUUAUUUCGCUUGAAGAGGAGCUUGCGGCAGAUUAGCUUGUUGGUAAGGUAACGGCUUACCAAGGCUACGAUCUGUAACCGGUCUAAGAGGACGGUCGGUCACACUGACGACUGAAUAACGGGUCAGACUCCUA